GUGCUCACUUCCUCAGUGCACAUGCUAACAUUGGAGCAAUACAGGGAAGAUUAGCAUGGCCCCUGUGCCAGGACGACAUGCAGGCUCAUGGAAUGUUCAAUAUUUUA
Small nuclear RNA from Ochotona princeps (American pika), 107 nucleotides. Lineage: Eukaryota; Metazoa; Chordata; Mammalia; Lagomorpha; Ochotonidae. The record is from Ensembl.